Molecule: long non-coding RNA, 193 nt
Organism: Poecilia latipinna (sailfin molly)
Lineage: Eukaryota; Metazoa; Chordata; Actinopteri; Cyprinodontiformes; Poeciliidae
Exons: 2
Source: RefSeq, a predicted model, not a curated record
UGUUUUUAAAAUUGUUUUUUUUUUUCCUUUUCUUGUUAUUUAGGUUGGUGGAAAUGUAGUACCCAAAAUCAAUCCCUGGGCGUAGAACUAAUGCGCGGAAAAAUCUGGGAUGAUACCUGGGAACCUGCAAGUAAAUCCUCUCAUGUUGCUGUCCCCCAAGUGCCACUUCCUUCAGACAGCGAACAAGUCCUUC